This 590-nucleotide ribosomal RNA is filed under the name uncultured soil archaeon. RNAcentral's name for it is "bacterial SSU rRNA". It matches the Rfam family "Archaeal small subunit ribosomal RNA", at positions 269 to 859 of the family's 1478-position model. The record is from RNAcentral.
ACGGGUUGUGAGAGCAAGAGCCCGGAGAUGGAUUCUGAGACAUGAAUCCAGGCCCUACGGGGCGCAGCAGGCGCGAAAACUCUACAAUGCAGGCAACUGCGAUAGGGGAACAUCGAGUGGCAUCCACCAUGGAUGUCUGUCCAAUCGUCUAAAAAACGAUUGUCAGCAAGGGCCGGGCAAGACCGGUGCCAGCCGCCGCGGUAAUACCGGCGGCUCGAGUGGUGGCCGAUAUUAUUGAGUCUAAAGGGUCCGUAGCCGGCUUUGCAAGUCCUAUGGGAAAUCCAGCGGCUUAACCGUUGGGCUUUCAUGGGAUACUACAUUGCUUGGGACUGGGAGAGGUAGGAGGUACUCAGGGGGUAGGGGUGAAAUCCUGUAAUCCUUUGGGGACCACCGGUGGCGAAGGCGUCCUACCAGAACAGGUCCGACGGUGAGGGACGAAAGCUAGGGGCACGAACCGGAUUAGAUACCCGGGUAGUCCUAGCCGUAAACGAUGCUCGCUAGGUGUCACGGCAGUCGUGAAUUGUCGUGGUGCCGUAGGGAAGCCGUGAAGCGAGCCACUUGGGAAGUACGACCGCAAGGUUGAAACUUAA